Molecule: non-coding RNA, 401 nt
Organism: Pelobates cultripes (western spadefoot toad)
Lineage: Eukaryota; Metazoa; Chordata; Amphibia; Anura; Pelobatidae
Source: the annotation of a GenBank genome assembly
CCGGGGUUAAAUAGGGGCGGAUGCGCGCUAUGUUUUUGAGAUGGAAGCGACAGGAUUUGACAAUUAAUUGGACAUGAGGGGUGAAGGAGAGGUUGGAGUCAAAAAUAACACCCAGGCAGCGAGCCUGCGAGGUAGAGGUGAUGGUAGCGCUGUUGACUUGGAGGGAGACGGACACAGGAGUAGUAACACUUGAGGGAGGAAAGACCAGAAGUUCUGUUUUGGACAGGUUGAGUUUAAGGAAGUGAGCAGCCAUCCAUUUGGAAAUCGAAGAGAGGCAGAGAGAGGUCAGGAGAGGACAGGUAGUUUUGCGUGUCAUCCGCAUAGAAAUAACAGAAGCCAAAUGAGCUGAUGAGUUUACCAAGGGAGGCAGCGUAGAUGGAGAACAGUAGUGGACCAAGGAC